UACUGUAGAUAAUGGAUGGACCUUUCAAGUCUGUGACUCAUCCAGUAUAUUUUGAAGGAAUUGUUCCUUUCGAGUUGCAUUACCAACUGAGUCUCACUUAGCAUUAGGGGAGCAUAGGGGAGAGGUGAACUACUCACGGUAGCAUGCAGAUUAAUACGGACAAUGAGGGGAAGGGAGGUCAGCUUAUUUGGCAACCUAAAUCAGUCCAGGAGCUUAAAUUUCGCACUUUUGACACGAUCCCUAACGUUACUGGUACUUUGAGUAUCUUUUCCGUUGAUGUUCGGUUGCACGGAAAUUUAUGUUUGCUAUAACUUCACAUUUUAGGUAAUAAUGAAAAGAUAUAAGCUGUGAAACACCACUGAAUAUUCAGCAACCUCAACGAAGCAAAUUUUGGGAAGAGUGACUUAUUGAGGUUAAACUCCGCUGAAACUUUGUCUGGAAGCUGGGUGUAGCUGUAGUUCACUCACCAGAGGUCAUCUUGGGGGCAGCAGUACUGGAGAGUCAGUGUCUUCUCUCUAAAGCCACUCUUCUCUGUGGGAUGUCUCAGGGACUGGUAUUUUACAGGAAGCCUGAGGCAACUUUCAGACAACAUGCAUUUUUCACAGUAGUGUAAUGCCUACAAAUGAAGCCUGAGAACUGAGUAAUGACUGCUAAAUGCACAGUAAUAUGUUCACAUUGGUUAAGCUUUAACCAUGUUUACUGUACAUGUGUCUGCAGUUAAUCAAAUAUACUGUACUUGGAGUAAAAUGUAUUUUAUCAGAGUUGAUUUAUUUGUAAACCUGUGUACUUUAAUGUAAAAUGUGGUGUAAUGUAAUGCAACUCUAGUUCUUAGUAUUUCCGUAGGUUUAUUUGUCUCUGUGAGAACAUUGACUUGCAUUCCCAAUUUGCAGUUUACUUGUUUUUCAUGAAGUCUUAAAAAAUAUAUUUUUUAAUCUGUCUGUGCACUCAUAUCUUGCAUUCUGCUUUUGUAAUUAUGCAGAAGUGUCCCUUAAGGAAACAAACUGAAGUUGUUCAGGUUGUAAUUUUGUUUUGUUUGUAAGCAUUCAAGUAACAGUGAUACUGUAUUUAUGAAAUGUCUCCGGAUAAGCUAGAACUUUGCAUCAGUGACACAUUCUUUUUUUGCUUCUGAAUGCAACAAAAGCAACUUGCCUUUGAUAUGAGUGAUAUGAUGUUGGCCAGUUGUUCUGUGUAUGGAGAACAGGGUUGCCCAACCCUGUUUUUGGAGAUGUGCUGUCCUCCUGGUGUUCUCUUCAAACAUUUGGCACACCUUAUUUUACUAAUUAGCUGCUCGAUGAGAUCACUAUCUGUUGAAUGGGGUGUGCUUUGUUAGGGUGAGCCAGAACACUGUUGCUAGUAUUGGCAAAUGCAAUGUUUAUAAAACUGGUAUUACUAGAUUUCCCCAAGUAUAGUUUUUGUUAGAUACUAGGCCCUUUCCCCUAAAAUGCAGGGAGUUGCCUGAUGUCUUCAUCAGUCAGACAUCUGUAUGCUUCUGUUAGUCAUAGUGUCAUGAAAGACUGCACCUUAUGGUCCUGUCUGUGAAACACUAGUGUGAUCCAUCCAUCCUCCACAGAUUCAGCUGUGCCAGGAACACAGGAAGCAAGCCAGGGCAAAAGCUCAUGCUCGUAUUUUUAAAAAAAAAGCAUUUUGCACAUGUAACACCAACACAUGCUACACCAACCUAACACCGGUACCCACACCUAACACCAUUACAAACACCCGUAUGCUACACGUACCAAACACCAAUAAUACAACAGUUCCCUACACAAACCUAACACCAGGGGCUUGUAUCGCGAUUCAGGCUAAAUGGGUAGGCCACCUAACUUCUGGCUUAAUCCUGAGUUUCUGGUACCGCAAAAGAAGCUUUCUUUUGAUUGGGUUAAAUUGUCAUGGUGAUUUACGCUGCAGAGCAGUGUUCAGGCCUAGUGUUUAAAGACACUGCCUCCUGACCAAUCGGCUCUCUGGAAAAUGACAUGUCCAUUUCUGGAGGAUCCCAUUUCUGAAAGCAUAAUCCCAUCAUAAUUCAGACUAUAAUGCAAAUCAGCAAUUGGAUUUUGUUUUCAUUCAAUGUGUGCAAAAACCAUAAAUAAUUCAAAUUCUUUUGAGAAAACCUCACUCAAAAAUUCAGGCUCUUGGAAACCAAUGAAAUUAUGAUACUAAUGAUGUACAGGUGGUUAGGCUUUCAUAAAAGGACACAAAUUGUUUCUUCUGCAUUAAACAAUCCAUAAAUGUUUCCUGUAUGCAUGCUGAGAAUGUUAUGCACAGGCAAAAGAAGUUCUUGAGACUUUAUACUUAAAAAGGUUGUUUUACAACUACAAUUUAUCUUGCAAUGCCGGGAUUAUGCCUGUAGUCAAAGGGGUUCAAUAACCAUUUUAUUUUUGGGCUUGUCUUAAAAAGAGGAUGUUUGUUAAAUUCCUGUUAAUGUUUAGUCCGUUACACACACACAUGUAUAAUUAUGUUUUGAAGGUUCAUUGCUUUUUUUCAUGCAUUGUUUUUCUCCAGUCAGACAAGUACACGCUGUUAUUUCCUGUCAUAACACCUGCAGACAGGUUAGCACCUGUAGUAUUUUUUCCACUUUCCCUAUUACACAAUUCAAUAAAUAAUUCCAUUACAACUGUUGCUAGCAUUACUCAUCAGGAUUAAGCAAACAGUUAGAUUAUUCAUCACAAAUGACCAGGGAGAUGUCUUUACUUGCAGUGUGCAGAGCUGGAAUGUUUAAAUGACACUUUCAAACCACAAAUCAUCUGCAAAUAGUACCAGACACCAUUGUGUCUUAUAAAAAAAUGUAUUUCUGGGUGUGUACAUUGCGUACAUUUUAGGUACACGUAGUCUUGCGUGCAAAAGGACACAUUCCAUAGCACACA
Anguilla rostrata (American eel) is the source of this 2861-nucleotide long non-coding RNA. RefSeq lists it as uncharacterized. NCBI's taxonomy places the organism in Eukaryota, Metazoa, Chordata, Actinopteri, Anguilliformes, Anguillidae. The transcript is spliced from 3 exons. The record is from RefSeq and is a predicted model, not a curated record.